AACGCUAGCUACAGGCUUAACACAUGCAAGUCGAGGGGAAACGACAUCGAAAGCUUGCUUUUGAUGGGCGUCGACCGGCGCACGGGUGAGUAACGCGUAUCCAACCUGCCCAUCACUUGGGGAUAACCUUGCGAAAGUAAGACUAAUACCCAAUGAUAUCUCUAGAAGACAUCUGAAAGAGAUUAAAGAUUUAUCGGUGAUGGAUGGGGAUGCGUCUGAUUAGCUUGUUGGCGGGGUAACGGCCCACCAAGGCGACGAUCAGUAGGGGUUCUGAGAGGAAGGUCCCCCACAUUGGAACUGAGACACGGUCCAAACUCCUACGGGAGGCAGCAGUGAGGAAUAUUGGUCAAUGGACGAGAGUCUGAAUCAGCCAAGUAGCGUGCAGGAUGACGGCCCUAUGGGUUGUAAACUGCUUUUAUAAGGGAAUAAAGUGAGUCUCGUGAGACUUUUUGCAUGUACCUUAUGAAUAAGGACCGGCUAAUUCCGUGCCAGCAGCCGCGGUAAUACGGAAGGUCCGGGCGUUAUCCGGAUUUAUUGGGUUUAAAGGGAGCGUAGGCCGGAGAUUAAGCGUGUUGUGAAAUGUAGACGCUCAACGUCUGCACUGCAGCGCGAACUGGUUUCCUUGAGUACGCACAAAGUGGGCGGAAUUCGUGGUGUAGCGGUGAAAUGCUUAGAUAUCACGAAGAACUCCGAUUG
RNAcentral lists this ribosomal RNA (696 nucleotides) under uncultured bacterium. RNAcentral's name for it is "bacterial SSU rRNA". It matches the Rfam family "Bacterial small subunit ribosomal RNA", at positions 32 to 715 of the family's 1533-position model. The record is from RNAcentral.